AGGGUUUGAUCCUGGCUCAGAUUGAACGCUGGCGGCAUGCCUAACACAUGCAAGUCGAACGGUAACAGAUAAGAUGAUCUCUUCGGAGUGAAUCUUUGCUGACGAGUGGCGGACGGGUGAGUAAUGCUUGGGAAUCUGCCCAAUAGUGGGGGAAAACUCGGGGAAACCCGGGCUAAUACCGCAUAAUCUCUACGGAGGAAAGAGGGCCUCUACAUGUAAGCUCUCGCUAAUGGAUGAGCCCAAGUCAGAUUAGCUAGUUGGUAAGGUAAUGGCUUACCAAGGCUACGAUCUGUAGCUGGUCUGAGAGGAUGAUCAGCCACACUGGGACUGAGACACGGCCCAGACUCCUACGGGAGGCAGCAGUGGGGAAUAUUGCACAAUGGGCGCAAGCCUGAUGCAGCAAUGCCGCGUGUGUGAAGAAGGCUCUAGGGUUGUAAAGCACUUUCAAUAGAGAAGAAAAGCUUGAAAUUAAUACUUUCAAGCCUUGACGUAACCUAUACAAGAAGCACCGGCUAAUUCCGUGCCAGCAGCCGCGGUAAUACGGGAGGUGCGAGCGUUAAUCGGAAUUACUGGGCGUAAAGCGAGCGUAGGCUGUUAAUUAAGUCGAAUGUGAAAUCCCCGGGCUCAACCUGGGAA
RNAcentral lists this ribosomal RNA (636 nucleotides) under uncultured bacterium. RNAcentral's name for it is "bacterial SSU rRNA". It matches the Rfam family "Bacterial small subunit ribosomal RNA", at positions 8 to 620 of the family's 1533-position model. The record is from RNAcentral.